UACGAGGGGGGCAAGCGUUGUUCGGAAUUAUUGGGCGUAAAGGGUGCGUAGGCGGUUCGGUAAGUCUCAAGUGAAAUCUAUGGGCUCAACCCAUAGUCUGCUUGAGAAACUGCCGGGCUUGAGUGUGGGAGAGGUGAGUGGAAUUCCCGGUGUAGCGGUGAAAUGCGUAGAUAUUGGGAAGAACACCGGUGGCGAAGGCGGCGACCUGGUCCUUGACUGACGCUGAGGCGCGAAAGCGUGGGGAGCAAACAGG
RNAcentral lists this ribosomal RNA (253 nucleotides) under uncultured prokaryote. RNAcentral describes it as "partial 16S ribosomal RNA". It matches the Rfam family "Bacterial small subunit ribosomal RNA", at positions 524 to 776 of the family's 1533-position model. The record is from RNAcentral.